CCCUUAGUUACCAGCGGGUAAUGCCCGGGAACUCUAAGGGGACUGCCUUGGUUAACGAGGAGGAAGGUGGGGACGACGUCAAGUCAUCACGGCCUUUAUGUCCAGGGCCACACACGUGCUACAAUGGCCGGCACAAAGGGUUGCCAACCCGCGAGGGGGAGCCAAUCCCAAAAAUCCGGCCUCAGUUCGGAUUGCAGUCUGCAACUCGACUGCAUGAAGUCGGAAUCGCUAGUAAUCGCGAAUCAGCAGGUCGCGGUGAAUACGUUCCCGGGCCUU
RNAcentral lists this ribosomal RNA (276 nucleotides) under uncultured bacterium. RNAcentral's name for it is "partial 16S ribosomal RNA". It matches the Rfam family "Bacterial small subunit ribosomal RNA", at positions 1108 to 1382 of the family's 1533-position model. The record is from RNAcentral.